Long non-coding RNA from Oncorhynchus tshawytscha (Chinook salmon), 223 nucleotides. RefSeq lists it as uncharacterized. NCBI's taxonomy places the organism in Eukaryota, Metazoa, Chordata, Actinopteri, Salmoniformes, Salmonidae. The record is from RefSeq and is a predicted model, not a curated record. The transcript has 3 exons.
CUCACAGCUCAGAGUGGAGGUGAUCAGGUGAUCAGGUCCUAUGGUGGAGCGGCUCACAGCUCAGAGUGGAGGUGAUCAGGUGAUCAGGUCCUAUGGUGGAGCGGCUCACAGCUCACAGAGUGGAGGUGAUCAGGUGAUCAGGUCCUAUGGUGGAGCGGCUCACAGCUCAGAGUGGAGGUGAUCAGGUGAUCAGGUCCUAUGGUGGAGCGGCUCACAGCUCACA